Long non-coding RNA from Sinocyclocheilus anshuiensis, 1783 nucleotides. RefSeq lists it as uncharacterized. The record is from RefSeq and is a predicted model, not a curated record. Lineage: Eukaryota; Metazoa; Chordata; Actinopteri; Cypriniformes; Cyprinidae. The transcript has 3 exons.
CUCGCGUGUGUAUUCUAUGGCGGACGGUUCACAAAUAGUUAGAGAGUUGCGCAACUUAGCGAAUGAAGUCGAUAACAACGCAUCAAAUGAUUAUGUGUUGUUUAGAUUAGAUGUGCUUAUCGAUGUUUUAGAAGAGCUAUUUGCCGAUAUGGAUGUCGAAGUACAGCCUGAAGUUUUAGGCUAUUCCCAGCACAUUCAAUCUCUGUGCGAGUCAGAUUGUACUACGAUGGGACGUCCAUUGUACUUGCUUCCGAUAAGCACAAUUUAAACUUACCUCUCAAUGGGUCAAACUGCUGGAAACAUUGCAAAGUUGUUUGGUGUCAGUGAAAGAACUAUCCGGAAUAGGAUGGAGCAACAUGGUUUAAGAGUAAGCGACCUGUUUUCAGCUCUGGAGGACGCUGAACUGGAUGCUUUGGUAGAAGAUGUACUAAAGCUCACCCAAAUGCCGGAUAUAAACUGAUGGUUGGACAAAUCGGUGCACAGGGCUUCGAGUACAGAGGAAGGCGGGUUUUGUACUUUGACAUAUUAGCAUCCCUGGGGCGACGUGUUCAAGAAUCCAUGAGACGCGUGGAUCCUCAGGGUGUCCUUAUGUGUCUUCAACUGAACCCCCGGAGGCGUAGAAAAUACACAGUCCCUGCACCCAACAGUUUAUGGCACAUCAAUGGUAACCAUAAGUUAAUAAGGUAUGUUGACAACAGUAGAAUAUUAUUUAUCAUGUUCAUCUGGAUGUGUUUUCUAUUUCAGACUGAAUAGGAAAUGGUUGUACAGUUGAACAAAAGAAAAUUAAAGCAUGAAUGUGUAAUAGGAGGGAUGUGUGUUCAUAGUUUAAUUCAAUGCAGAUCAAGAUCACUUUAUCACAGUGAUUCUCAGCAUUUAAAUUUCAUAACUUACCAUGUAGACCGCAAGUGUGAAUUUGUUGGGGUAAGUUUGGAAGAACUUUGUGAUAAGAUGGCAAUCAGACCUGUCCUCUCCAGCCAAAAUCCUCAAUACACUGUUCUAAAAUGUAUAGCUGAAUGUUGUUUUUCACAAGAAGGAUCUUUCUCGUGAACCUAAAUUUCCAACUGUUAUGAAAUAUUAAUAUUCAUCCAGCAAGAUCAUAUAAUAAGUAAUUGGAUAAUGUCAUGUGAUGCCAUUGUGUGUGUGUGUGUGUGUGUGUGUGAGGCUAAGGAACUGAGGAACGUGCUUGGAUGAGUGGUGAAACAUUAAUCAGCAGAGAAACAUCCAUUUGACUAUUUUGAGAAUUUUGAUAGACAUUGUUGGUGUAAUUAUACGAGCAGAUCUUUCUGAUUGUGUUGUUAAAGGUCCAGUAGGGAUUUCUGAGAAAGACUGUUGAUAUUUGAAAUCACCGAAGCAAAUGUCCCUACCUAAAAGGAUAACACCCCUAUUUUGAUAGCUCUGCCUCCAAAUUCGUGAAGACCCCUAUGUUAUGCGACACAGGCACCUCUCCCAUCAUGAGAGAAGAGUGAGAAGCAGAUUCUCUCCUUCAACAUCUCUGAACCAACUGACGAUGUUCACCUGGAGACUAUUCAAACGUUCAGUUAAUCUAGUCUAAUGUUAUAAUCUUUAUUAAAUCAAAUUUUGGUAAAACAUCUUAAUAAAGAAAUAUUGUCUAUUUCACAGGUGUUCAUAUUAUUUUGUCCAACCCCUGUAUGUAAAAGGUAUCGUCUUAAGUAUGUGAUAUAAUGUUUUGGCUGUUUUGAUUUACUAUAGAAAGUAGAACGUGUUUUAUAUCAUUACUCAAAAGCCUAGUUGUUAAUAUUGUUGAAAUUAAUUUUCUUAUAUC